Long non-coding RNA from Strongylocentrotus purpuratus (purple sea urchin), 267 nucleotides. RefSeq lists it as uncharacterized. NCBI's taxonomy places the organism in Eukaryota, Metazoa, Echinodermata, Echinoidea, Camarodonta, Strongylocentrotidae. The record is from RefSeq and is a predicted model, not a curated record. The transcript has 2 exons.
GUCACGAUGUAAAACCACGGCAAAGUUAGCCUGUUUUUAUUGUAAAGUUAAACUACUUGGUCUGCCCAUAUUAUUUGGUCUGCACAGUGUUCUUACGGCAACAUCUUACGGCAACAUGUAAAGCGACUUCCAAGUUAAUCAGCUAAAUCGGCGUCAUCUAUCAAGUUAACGGCUUAUUCGAUAUUCGAGAGUAAGAUUGUAAGCCUGUAAACUUUCUUCAAGGAACGAUGACAAUAAAGGAAGCAUGAUUAAAGUGCCCGUAUACAA